This 2622-nucleotide long non-coding RNA is filed under the name Panax ginseng (ginseng). RNAcentral's name for it is "long non-coding RNA (PGIN_LNC008328)". Lineage: Eukaryota; Viridiplantae; Streptophyta; Magnoliopsida; Apiales; Araliaceae. The record is from RNAcentral.
GAGUACUCGCCUCUGCACAUUGUCUCUUCUCUAAGUUCUCUUCCCUCUUCCGCGGCUUCCGCGGCUUCCGCCUCCACUGGUGACUGGACCACUGCUCCUGCCGGCUGCCUCUGCCGCCGCCGUCUUACAGGUUUAUGAUUUUGUUUUUAUACUUGUUGUGGAUGAUGAUCAAUUUUGUUUUUCUACUUUUUUUCAUGGCUGAUUGUUGUGGAUUGAAGAAUGACAGAAAUAGAAGGGGCCGAAUGGAAUUUGUACUGGAUAAAUUAUAUAAAAGGGAAACAAAAGAAUUGUUGGGGACAGUUUUUUUUUUUUAGUUUUUUUCAAUAUAUACAUUUAUAUAUUAUAAGAUAUUAGAAGUAUGAUAUGAUUUUUUGUUUGGGAGUUCUUUAAAGGAUUGGGGGUAAAAGUCAUGUUUUUUUUUUUUGGAUUAUUUACAUAUAUUGAAUAAUAACAGUGAAAUGUUUAAAUGUUUAAAUUGAUGAAAUUAUUGAUUAGCAAUUGAUGUUUUUAUUUAUAUUAGAUUAUGGAUAAAUGCUUAAAACAAAGAAUUGGUGAUUCUUCUAAUAAUCAAUUAUCAAGUUCCGAAGCAAGUGGUGUGGUAUUAAUAAUUUUGGCCCGUUUGAUUUAAAAUUUUUGACCCCCUUACAAAAACGUUAUGGUUCCGCCACUGCAGAUAAACAUAUUAUAGGAGCAUAGACAUAUAAAAUACAAUGAACAAACUGGGCCAAAUUACAAAGUGUCAGCAAAACUGCACACAUCUGAAAAUGAAAUUCAAAUUUUAUUUAAUCAUAGUUCAACUUAUGUACAACCCAGCAACAAACAAAUCGGAAACAGUCCAAUAAAGUAAGUAAACAUUUAACUACUAAAAAAAAGGUCCCAAAAAAUGAAAAAUGAAAAAACUAAUAGCUCAAGCUUCUUCCUUUUUGCUAAGCUAAGUGUAAAGAAUAUAGGGAAAGCAAACCAAGAAAUAUAAAAUGAAACAGUUUUUUUAUUUUUUUUAAAAAAACCACACACACACACACAUAUAUAUAUACACACACGUACAUAUUCAGCAUCUGUGAUACACCAAGCUAACCCAUGUAUGGAUUAAUGAAGAUGAUGAUCAGUGGCGGAACUAGGGGGCGGGCGCGGGGGCGGAGNNNNNNNNNNNNNNNNNNNNNNNNNNNNNNNNNNNNNNNNNNNNNNNNNNNNNNNNNNNNNNNNNNNNNNNNNNNNNNNNNNNNNNNNNNNNNNNNNNNNUUUUUUUUUUAAAACAUAUGAAACGACGUCGUUUCAUUAAAAAAAUAAAAUAAAUAAAAAUUACUAUAAUGCUAUCCGAUAUAAAGAAUUAGGGAUUUUAACUUUUUUCUUCUUUCAGUCUUCCCCCUCUCAAAGUCUCACCUCUGCCUCUUCCGAUCUUCUGUGUGCAGAUCUGCUCCUGCACCACUGCUCCUCCAGUCCUCCUCUUCACGACUUCACCUCAUCAGGUUUGUCAAAUAAAUGUGUAUCUAUCUUAAUAUCUAUCUACUUAUAUUAUAAAAUACUAGUAGUCAAUUUUGAUGAAAGAAGUUCACUUAAUUUUCGUGUGCCCACUUUCUGAAUGAAAGAAAUUCAUUUAAUUAUUAUUUUUUUAUUUGUAGUCAAUAGGGAUUAGUACUAAAUUAUGUUGUAAUUUUUUAUGAAUUGUUAAAAACUGAUGGGAUUUUGACCCAAUUUUUUUUAUUGAUUUGUCGUCCUUGUUUUACUUUCAUGUCUGCUAUUUGUUUAAUAGGUUUAAGUCCUUAUUACUUAUAACUAAAAAGACAAAAUUUGAAGUGUUGUUUAUUUGUAUUCAUGUCAAAUAAGACUUCGUUGAUGGGUGUCUGAUUUGAUUUUAAAAAAAAAAAUUGGAGUCAAAAACAGUAUGGGACUCUUGAGGAAAACCCAAGCAGAUUAGCUAAAAUUUGUUUAAUUCCUGUUUCUUAAAUGCUAAGAGAAUUGAUGAAUGAUAAAAUUAUUAUGAAAUGUUUAAAUUGAUAAAAUUAUGCAUUGGGUUGCUAAUAUACUUUUCAUUUUUUUCAAUCUGGGUCAAAAUCAAACCCAAAGCCCUUAACUCCGCUUUCUCACCGCAACCUACACGUCGCUGCUCUGGACCUCCGGUAACCGCCCUCAAAUUUUGACCCCCUCAAAUUUUGUUCGGUUCCACCACUGAUGAAGAUAUAAAAAUCAUACCUUGGUGAGGUAGAAAGAACUUAUGAGAAGGUUGAGAGACUAUCUAUCUAAAUUGUUUAGAUAGAAAAAAAGGCAGAGCUAUAAGAAUUUUGGGGAGUGUCCACUGACCGACCAGUAAAUAGGUGAGAACUGGCAUAGUCAUUUUGGCACGUGAAAAAAAAAUGGGAAACAAACUUUAUCUUUUACUUUUUACUUAAAGGCAGGUGACCGUAAUUUCACCUGGACUAUGUUUGUCUGCAAGGAUUAUAAUUCCAAAAUUAUAAUUCAUAAGAUUAUAAUUGCAAGACUAUUAAUCAUUUGUUUGCAAGGAUUAUAAUUUCAAGACUAUUAAUCCUAGAAUUAUACUCAUGGAAUUAUAAUUAUUUUGUCAAGACUAUUAAGUCAUUUUAUAAUCUUGAGACUAAUAGUCUCAAGUCUAAAUUUGAAAACAAA